Molecule: ribosomal RNA, 468 nt
Filed under: uncultured bacterium
Lineage: Bacteria
Description: partial 16S ribosomal RNA
Rfam family: Bacterial small subunit ribosomal RNA
Source: RNAcentral
GACGAACGCUGGCGGCGUGCUUAACACAUGCAAGUCGAACGGAAAGGCCCUGCGGUUGUGGGGUGCUCGAGAGGGGAACGGGAGAGGAGCACGUGAGUAACCCCCCCCUGACAUUGGGAUAGCAUCAGGGGACUGGUGCUGAUACUGGACAGGAGCUCCUGCUGCGGGGGGGGGGAGGGAAAGCGGCGGCGGUUGGGGAUGGACUCGCGGCGUAUGAGCUUGGUGGGGGGGUAGGGGCUUACCAAGGCGGUGACGGGUAGCCGGCCUGAGAGGGUGACCGGCCACAAUGGGACUGAGACACGCCGCAGGCUGCUACGGGAAGCAGUGGGCGAGAGUAUUACGCAAUGGGCGGAAGCCUGAUGUAGCAACGCCGCGCGCGGGAUGACGGACUUCGGGUUGUAAACCGCUUUGGCCGGUGACGAGGCGCGAGUGACGGUAAUGGGUAAAGAAGCACCGGCUAACUACGUG